Molecule: ribosomal RNA, 448 nt
Filed under: uncultured bacterium
Lineage: Bacteria
Description: bacterial SSU rRNA
Rfam family: Bacterial small subunit ribosomal RNA
Source: RNAcentral
GAGCGGAUGAAGAGAGCUUGCUCUCUGAUUCAGCGGCGGACGGGUGAGUAAUGCCUAGGAAUCUGCCUGGUAGUGGGGGACAACGUCUCGAAAGGGACGCUAAUACCGCAUACGUCCUACGGGAGAAAGUGGGGGCUCUUCGGACCUCACGCUAUCAUAUGAGCCUAGGUCGGAUUACCUAGUUGGUGAGGUAAUGGCUCACCAAGGCGACGAUCCGUAACUGGUCUGAGAGGAUGAUCAGUCACACUGGAACUGAGACACGGUCCAGACUCCUACGGGAGGCAGCAGUGGGGAAUAUUGGACAAUGGGCGAAAGCCUGAUCCAGCCAUGCCGCGUGUGUGAAGAAGGUCUUCGGAUUGUAAAGCACUUUAAGUUGGGAGGAAGGGCAUUAACCUAAUACGUUGAUGUUUUGACGUUACCGACAGAAUAAGCACCGGCUAACUCUGUG